GUCGAGCGAACGGACGAGAAGCUUGCUUCUCUGAUGUUAGCGGCGGACGGGUGAGUAACACGUGGAUAACCUACCUAUAAGACUGGGAUAACUUCGGGAAACCGGAGCUAAUACCGGAUAAUAUUUUGAACCGCAUGGUUCAAAAGUGAAAGACGGUCUUGCUGUCACUUAUAGAUGGAUCCGCGCUGCAUUAGCUAGUUGGUAAGGUAACGGCUUACCAAGGCAACGAUGCAUAGCCGACCUGAGAGGGUGAUCGGCCACACUGGAACUGAGACACGGUCCAGACUCCUACGGGAGGCAGCAGUAGGGAAUCUUCCGCAAUGGGCGAAAGCCUGACGGAGCAACGCCGCGUGAGUGAUGAAGGUCUUCGGAUCGUAAAACUCUGUUAUUAGGGAAGAACAUAUGUGUAAGUAACUGUGCACAUCUUGACGGUACCUAAUCAGAAAGCCACGGCUAACUACGUGCCAGCAGCCGCGGUAAUACGUAGGUGGCAAGCGUUAUCCGGAAUUAUUGGGCGUAAAGCGCGCGUAGGCGGUUUUUUAAGUCUGAUGUGAAAGCCCACGGCUCAACCGUGGAGGGUCAUUGGAAACUGGAAAACUUGAGUGCAGAAGAGGAAAGUGGAAUUCCAUGUGUAGCGGUGAAAUGCGCAGAGAUAUGGAGGA
RNAcentral lists this ribosomal RNA (662 nucleotides) under uncultured Staphylococcus sp. Its description in RNAcentral is "bacterial SSU rRNA". It matches the Rfam family "Bacterial small subunit ribosomal RNA", at positions 61 to 705 of the family's 1533-position model. The record is from RNAcentral. Lineage: Bacteria; Bacillati; Bacillota; Bacilli; Caryophanales; Staphylococcaceae.